RNAcentral lists this small RNA (269 nucleotides) under Arabidopsis thaliana (thale cress). Its description in RNAcentral is "ATSL194420". The record is from RNAcentral. Lineage: Eukaryota; Viridiplantae; Streptophyta; Magnoliopsida; Brassicales; Brassicaceae.
AUUUUAUCUAUGUUUUAGGGUUAGGAUUUUGAGUCUUUAUGUUAUUUCUCGAGUCUUUUUAGUGUCUUUUUAGGUAUUCUAUGCAAUGGGACAACAAUGGAGAUAAGGAGACAUUUUAGAGAAAAAGCUAAGGAAAAGGAAGCUAAGCAUGAUUUUCGAUCGACACCAGUUUCGGCCCAGCAAAGUCCAUGACGCUUUCAAGUUUACAGAAGAAGAAAUUUGCCCCAGAAGACUUCCCUAUUUACAUUAUUAGACCCAGGACGUUUUAU